UACGGAAGGCAGCAGUGGGGAAUAUUGGACAAUGGGCGGAAGCCUGAUCCAGCCAUGCCGCGUGUGUGAAGAAGGCCUUUUGGUUGUAAAGCACUUUAAGCGAGGAGGAGGCUCUCCUAGUUAAUACCUAGGAAGAGUGGACGUUACUCGCAGAAUAAGCACCGGCUAACUCUGUGCCAGCAGCCGCGGUAAUACAGAGGGUGCGAGCGUUAAUCGGAUUUACUGGGCGUAAAGCGUGCGUAGGCGGCUGAUUAAGUCGGAUGUGAAAUCCCUGAGCUUAACUUAGGAAUUGCAUUCGAUACUGGUCAGCUAGAGUAUGGGAGAGGAUGGUAGAAUUCCAGGUGUAGCGGUGAAAUGCGUAGAGAUCUGGAGGAAUACCGGAUGGCGAAGGCAGCCAUCUGGCCUAAUACUGACGCUGAGUACGAAAGCAUGGGGA
RNAcentral lists this ribosomal RNA (436 nucleotides) under uncultured bacterium. RNAcentral's name for it is "bacterial SSU rRNA". It matches the Rfam family "Bacterial small subunit ribosomal RNA", at positions 340 to 767 of the family's 1533-position model. The record is from RNAcentral.